GGCGAGGUAGCUCAGUUGGUAAGAGCAUUGGAUUCAUAACCCAAAGGUCGAGGGUUCGACUCCCUCCCUCGCUA
RNAcentral lists this transfer RNA (74 nucleotides) under Bacteroidota bacterium. Its description in RNAcentral is "Bacteroidetes bacterium (groundwater metagenome) tRNA-Met". It matches the Rfam family "tRNA". Rfam says of the family: Transfer RNA (tRNA) molecules are approximately 80 nucleotides in length. Their secondary structure includes four short double-helical elements and three loops (D, anti-codon, and T loops). Lineage: Bacteria; Pseudomonadati; Bacteroidota. The record is from RNAcentral.